RNAcentral lists this small RNA (153 nucleotides) under Oryza sativa Japonica Group (Japanese rice). RNAcentral's name for it is "sRNA Os04g0114950". The record is from RNAcentral. Lineage: Eukaryota; Viridiplantae; Streptophyta; Magnoliopsida; Poales; Poaceae.
CGCGUCGCCUCCUCUCGGGCGACACGGGAGGCGCCCAGCUCGCCGUCGCCCGCCGCUCCCUCCCUUCUCCUCCUUCGCCUCACCGCUGCCCGAGCGGCCGGCAGCAAAGUCGCGCGGCCGCAAGGACGGCGGCGACGGGGCUUCGCUCAGUCU